UGAUAAUGUAUUAAUGUGUCUCCAGAGUAAGCCCCUGAUAAUGUAUUAAUGUCUCCAGAGUAAGCCCCUGAUAAUGUAUUAAUGUCUCCAGAGUAAGCCCCUGAUAAUGUAUUAAUGUCUCCAGAGUAAGCCCCUGAUAAUGUAUUAAUGUCUCCAGAGUAAGCCCCUGAUAAUGUAUUUAAUGUCUCCAGAGUAAGCCCCUGAUAAUGUAUUAAUGUGUCUCCAGAGUAAGCCCCUGAUAAUGUAUUUAAUGUCUCCAGAGUAAGCCCCUGAUAAUGUAUUAAUGUCUCCAGAGUAAGCCCCUGAUAAUGUAUUUAAUGUCUCUCCAGAGUAAGCCCCUGAUAAUGUAUUAAUGUGUCUCCAGAGUAAGCCCCUGAUAAUGUAUUUAAUGUCUCCAGAGUAAGCCCCUGAUAAUGUAUUAAUGUCUCCAGAGUAAGCCCCUGAUAAUGUAUUAAUGUGUCUCCAGAGUAAGCCCCUGAUAAUGUAUUAAUGUGUCUCCAGAGUAAGCCCCUGAUAAUGUAUUUAAUGUCUCCAGAGUAAGCCCCUGAUAAUGUAUUUAAUGUCUCCAGAGUAAGCCCCUGAUAAUGUAUUAAUGUGUCUCCAGAGUAAGCCCCUGAUAAUGUAUUUAAUGUCUCCAGAGUAAGCCCCUGAUAAUGUAUUAAUGUCUCCAGAGUAAGCCCCUGAACGUGGAGUACCUGAUAAUGUAUUUAAUGUCUCCAGAGUAAGCCCCUGAUAAUGUAUUUAAUGUCUCCAGAGUAAGCCCCUGAACGUGGAGUACCUCAUGAUGGACGCGUCCGUUCUACUUCCUCCUACUGGUACUCCUCUGACUGGAAUAGACUUCGUUAAGAGACUGCCCUGUGGAGGAGUAGAGAAGACCAGACGGGCCAUCCGUGUGUUCUUCAUGCUGAGAUCACUAUCUCUUCAGCUGCAGGGAGAACCAGAGACGCAGCUUCCUCUCACUCGCUCUGAAGACCUCAUCAAGACCGACGAUGUUCUGGACCUAAAUAACAGUGAUCUGAUAGCCUGUAUGGUUGUGUUGUGGUCUCUCUCUCUCUGUAGAUAACAGUGAUCUGAUAGCCUGUAUGGUUGUGUUGUGGUCUCUCUGUAGAUAACAGUGAUCUGAUAGCCUGUAUGGUUGUGUUGUGGUCUCUCUCUCUCUGUAGAUAACAGUGAUCUGAUAGCCUG
This is a long non-coding RNA of Oncorhynchus nerka (sockeye salmon), 1185 nucleotides long. RefSeq lists it as uncharacterized. NCBI's taxonomy places the organism in Eukaryota, Metazoa, Chordata, Actinopteri, Salmoniformes, Salmonidae. The transcript has 3 exons. The record is from RefSeq and is a predicted model, not a curated record.